Long non-coding RNA from Brassica oleracea var. oleracea, 862 nucleotides. RefSeq lists it as uncharacterized. The record is from RefSeq and is a predicted model, not a curated record. NCBI's taxonomy places the organism in Eukaryota, Viridiplantae, Streptophyta, Magnoliopsida, Brassicales, Brassicaceae. The transcript is spliced from 4 exons.
AUACAUACAUUUAUUUGUGUCUUCUUGUGUCACAAGUGUACUCAUAUAAUGCAAUCACAACUUACGAUAUACAGUUAUACAAAGGCGUUGUGAAUGAUUCGAAUUUCAAACAAAUCAGAGUACUGAUCAGUAGUCACAUCUCUUCUUGUAACUCCCAUAUCUUCUUGUGUCUACUCCCAUGUCUUCUUGUCUCACAUGUAUUCUUCCACCUGCAAAAACAAUGAUCAGACACAAAGACAACAAACCAAGACGACAACAAAGACUUCAAACUAGCGAUGAGAAGAACAAAGCCAAGAAACGGUUCAAAGUUUUCUUCCUCUCAGGCCCUUCUCUGAUUUGUUCUUCUCUCCAAGAACGGUUCAAAGUCUUCUCCUUUCGAGUUCAACAAGAGAAGAGCUUAUGGUUUUGACGAAACUGGUAAGAACAAGAAGAAUCUCAAAAUAAAAACACACAAACUCAAUCCCAACACUACUGCUUACGCACAGGUCCUUGGAACGGGAAUGGACACAAAAGACUUCGUUUUCUCUAUUACUCUUCUUUGAUAAACAAAGAUUCAUCUUUAAUGCUGAGAGGGCUUGCACCGUUGCAACGUUUUUGUAACGUUUUUGUACAAAACAUAAGAUUAAACUAUCAAAGAUAAAUAUUGUCUCCUGUCUGCUCAGAGACUACAGGUGGACUUCCAGAUUUGUUCUUGCUUUUGACUCAUGGCUUGGGUGUUAGUUCAGGACAAUGUGUUGGCACUUAUGGAAGAGAUGAUGUUGGUUCUGUUUCUUGUGGAUGGCUUCAUGACGGUUCAGUUAUCAUUGGCGCAAUGGCAGAUAGAAGGAUCUACCUGUGGAGUUUAUAUGGGACUGAGAUAGAA